CAAUAGCGUAUAUUAAAGUUGUUGCGGUAAAAAAGCUCGUAGUUGGAUUUCUGUUGAGAGCGACCGGUCCAUACCAUGUAUGCGUAUCUGGCUUGCUCUCGGCAUCCUCUCGAUAGACGUUACUGCGCUUGAUUGCGUGGUGCGGAUCUCGGGACUUUUACUUUGAGGAAAUUAGAGUGUUCACGGCAGGCUUUCGCCAGAAUACAUUAGCAUGGAAUAAUACUAUAGGAUCUUGGUUCUAUUUUGUUGGUUUCUAGAAUUGAGAUAAUGAUUAAUAGGGACAAUUGGGGGCAUUCGCAUCAACACGUCAGAGGUGGAAUUCUUGGAUUGUGUUGCGACGAACUACUGCGAAAGCAUUUGCCAAGGAUGUUUUCAUUGA
This 379-nucleotide ribosomal RNA is filed under the name uncultured eukaryote. RNAcentral describes it as "partial 18S ribosomal RNA". It matches the Rfam family "Eukaryotic small subunit ribosomal RNA", at positions 592 to 976 of the family's 1831-position model. The record is from RNAcentral.